Molecule: ribosomal RNA, 253 nt
Filed under: uncultured bacterium
Lineage: Bacteria
Description: partial 16S ribosomal RNA
Rfam family: Bacterial small subunit ribosomal RNA
Source: RNAcentral
UACGUAGGUGGCAAGCGUUGUCCGGAUUUACUGGGUGUAAAGGGCGUGUAGCCGGGCUGACAAGUCAGAUGUGAAAUCCGGGGGCUCAACCCCCGAACUGCAUUUGAAACUGUUGGUCUUGAGUAUCGGAGAGGCAGGCGGAAUUCCUAGUGUAGCGGUGAAAUGCGUAGAUAUUAGGAGGAACACCAGUGGCGAAGGCGGUCUGCUGGACGACAACUGACGGUGAGGCGCGAAAGCGUGGGGAGCAAACAGG